AACGCACAUUGCACCGUCUGGAAUCCCGGACGGUAUAUCUGUUUGAGUAUAGUAUCUAAAUCAUCAACUAUGAGUGUGCAAACACUUAAUGGGAGAUGGAAUUGGGAUCUUGCGGUUUGCCGCAUAUCCUUAAAUGUAGCAAAACACUCUUAAGCAGUCCGUAAGGAAUGCCACAAGAUUUUGUUCUGCACCACUUACUUGAAGCUUUUCGUAAGCUUUGAAACCCUAUCUCAAAUUAGAUAAGACCACCCGCUGAACUUAA
RNAcentral lists this unclassified non-coding RNA (262 nucleotides) under uncultured soil eukaryote. RNAcentral's name for it is "sequence contains 5.8S rRNA gene, ITS2, 28S rRNA gene". The record is from RNAcentral.